AAGGAGGGAAAAAUAAUCAGUUGGAAUGCUGAUAAAAAACAGAUUGAGCUUGAGAUCCUUUCAUCGCCAGCAGGACAAGUUGCUAAAGAGCCAGGGAAAUUCGAUCUGGUUUACCAGUCUGCAGAUGGAGCAGAACUGAUAGAGUACGCUGUUCCUCAGGAUACAAAGAUAACUGAAAGUUGGGAUGCACUGAUAGAGCCAAGACUGAUUGUUGAGCCUCCAGUUAAUGGAUCCAUCAUUGAAAAUGGAGCAGUCUGAGCUGUGAACCAAUGUAAAUAACUGUACAGACUUGUUUUGUGACAUGCUGCCUUCUAGUUCCGAGGGCAGCAGGUCACUGGUGGGUAUUUUUAAUAAAUGGUUUU
Phaethon lepturus (White-tailed tropicbird) is the source of this 362-nucleotide long non-coding RNA. RefSeq lists it as uncharacterized. The transcript is spliced from 3 exons. The record is from RefSeq and is a predicted model, not a curated record. Lineage: Eukaryota; Metazoa; Chordata; Aves; Phaethontiformes; Phaethontidae.